AUACGUAGGUGGCAAGCGUUGUCCGGAUUUACUGGGUGUAAAGGGCGUGUAGGCGGGUGAAUAAGUCAGGUGUGAAAUACCACGGCUCAACCGUGGGGUUGCAUUUGAAACUGUUCAUCUUGAGUGUCGGAGAGGAAAGCGGAAUUCCCAGUGUAGCGGUGAAAUGCGUAGAUAUUGGGAGGAACACCAGUGGCGAAGGCGGCUUUCUGGACGAUAACUGACGCUGAGGCGCGAAAGCGUGGGGAGC
This 247-nucleotide ribosomal RNA is filed under the name uncultured bacterium. Its description in RNAcentral is "partial 16S ribosomal RNA". It matches the Rfam family "Bacterial small subunit ribosomal RNA", at positions 523 to 769 of the family's 1533-position model. The record is from RNAcentral.